This 253-nucleotide ribosomal RNA is filed under the name uncultured prokaryote. RNAcentral's name for it is "partial 16S ribosomal RNA". It matches the Rfam family "Bacterial small subunit ribosomal RNA", at positions 524 to 776 of the family's 1533-position model. The record is from RNAcentral.
UACAGAGGGUGCGAGCGUUGUUCGGAAUUAUUGGGCGUAAAGCGCAUGUAGGCGGGAGUGUAAGUCGCGUGUGAAAGCCCCAGGCUCAACCUGGGAAGUGCGCGCGAAACUGCGGUGCUUGAGUGUGGGAGAGGUGAGUGGAAUUCCCGGUGUAGCGGUGAAAUGCGUAGAUAUCGGGAAGAACACCUGUGGCGAAAGCGGCUCACUGGACCACAACUGACGCUGAGGCGCGAAAGCUAGGGGAGCAAACAGG